Molecule: transfer RNA, 73 nt
Filed under: Neotoma lepida (desert woodrat)
Lineage: Eukaryota; Metazoa; Chordata; Mammalia; Rodentia; Cricetidae
Rfam family: tRNA
About the family: Transfer RNA (tRNA) molecules are approximately 80 nucleotides in length.
Source: Rfam by way of RNAcentral
AGUGUGAUAGCUCAGUUGGUAAAGUGCUUGCCUUGGAAGCAUGAAGACAGGAGUUCUAUCCUCCCCUAAACCC